CCUACGGGCGGCUGCAGUGAGGAAUAUUGGUCAAUGGACGAGAGUCUGAACCAGCCAAGUAGCGUGAAGGAUGACUGCCCUAUGGGUUGUAAACUUCUUUUAUAUGGGAAUAAAAUGUUCCACGUGUGGGAUUUUGUAUGUACCAUAUGAAUAAGGAUCGGCUAACUCCGUGCCAGCAGCCGCGGUAAUACGGAGGAUCCGAGCGUUAUCCGGAUUUAUUGGGUUUAAAGGGAGCGUAGGUGGAUUGUUAAGUCAGUUGUGAAAGUUUGCGGCUCAACCGUAAAAUUGCAGUUGAGACUGGCAGUCUUGAGUACAGUAGAGGUGGGCGGAAUUCGUGGUGUAGCGGUGAAAUGCUUAGAUAUCACGAAGAACUCCGAUUGCGAAGGCAGUUCACUGGACUGCAGCUGACACUGAGGCUCGAAAGUGUGGGUAUCAAACAGGAUUAGAUACCCCUGUAGUC
This 460-nucleotide ribosomal RNA is filed under the name uncultured bacterium. RNAcentral describes it as "partial 16S ribosomal RNA". It matches the Rfam family "Bacterial small subunit ribosomal RNA", at positions 338 to 795 of the family's 1533-position model. The record is from RNAcentral.